UAGGCGUAAAUGAUGCGAGUUAAGUGUGGGGGCAUCUACGAGAUGGCCCUGUGCUGUAGGGUAGCCGUUAAACUCGCUGCCUGGGGAGUACGGUCGCAAGGCUGAAACUUAAAGGAAUUGGCGGGGGAGCACCACAACGGGUGGAGCUUGCGGUUUAAUUGGAUUCAACGCCGGAAAUCUUACCGGGACCGACAGCAACAUGAAGGCCAGGCUGAAGACUUUGCCGGAUUAGCUGAGAGGUGGUGCAUGGCGUAGACGU
This 259-nucleotide ribosomal RNA is filed under the name uncultured archaeon. Its description in RNAcentral is "partial 16S ribosomal RNA". It matches the Rfam family "Archaeal small subunit ribosomal RNA", at positions 748 to 1007 of the family's 1478-position model. The record is from RNAcentral.